RNAcentral lists this ribosomal RNA (1242 nucleotides) under metagenome. RNAcentral describes it as "bacterial LSU rRNA". It matches the Rfam family "Bacterial large subunit ribosomal RNA", at positions 1564 to 2815 of the family's 2925-position model. The record is from RNAcentral.
UGAGUACAAGAUGCUACGGCAUUGAAGCAGUCUAUGUCAUACUUCCAAGAAAAGCUUGCAAUGUCAUAAACAAAUAAUGCCUGUACCAUAACCGACACAGGUGGGUAGGUAGAGUAUACUAAGGGGCGCGAGAUAACUCUCUCUAAGGAACUCGGCAAAAUGACUCCGUAACUUCGGGAGAAGGAGUACCUUAUUUUAUAAGGUUGCAAUAACAAGGUCCAAGCAACUGUUUACCAAAAACACAGGUCUCCGCUAAGUCGUAAGACGAUGUAUGGGGGCUGACGCCUGCCCAGUGCCAGAAGGUUAAGGAAGUUGGUUAGCAUUAGCGAGGCUGAUAACUGAAGCCCUGGUGAACGGCGGCCGUAACAAUAACGGUCCUAAGGUAGCGAAAUUCCUUGUCGGGUAAGUUCCGACCCGCACGAAAGGCGUAAUGAUUUGGAUACUGUCUCGGAGAGGGGCUCGGUGAAAUAGACUUGUCUGUGAAGAUGCGGACUACCUGCACCUGGACAGAAAGACCCUAUGAAGCUUUACUGUAACUUGAGAUUGAAAUUGGACUUUAUUUGCGCAGUAUAGGUGGGAGACCUCGAAAGUAUUCUUGCGGGAAUAUUGGAGUCAUCAGUGAGAUACCACUCUUAUAAUGUUAGAUUUCUAACUUUGUAUCAUUAUCUGGUCAAAGAACAGUUUCAGGCGGGCAGUUUGACUGGGGCGGUCGCCUCCCAAAUGGUAACGGAGGCGCACAAAGGUUUCCUCUGAACGUGUAGAAAUCGUAUCUAGAGUGUAAAGGCAUAAGGAAGCUUGACUGUGAGACCUACAAGUCGAGCAGGGACGAAAGUCGGUCUUAGUGAUCUGACGGUGCUGAGUGGAAAGGCCGUCACUCAACGGAUAAAAGUUACUCUAGGAUAACAGGCUGAUCUCCCCCAAGAGUUCACAUCGACGGGGAGGUUUGGCACCUCGAUGUCGGCUCAUCGCAUCCUGGGGCGGUAGUACGUCCCAAGGGUUGGGCUGUUCGCCCAUGAAAGCGGUACGCGAGCUGGGUUCAGAACGUCGUGAGACAGUUCGGUCCAUAUCCGGUGUAGGCGUUAGAAUAUUGAGAGGAGCCUCCUUUAGUACGAGAGGACCGAGAAGGACAUACCUCUGGUGUACCAGUUAUCGUGCCAACGGUAAACGCUGGGUAGCUAUGUAUGGAGAGGAUAACCGCUGAAAGCAUCUAAGUGGGAAGCCCACCUCAAGAUAAGUAUUCUC